This 6104-nucleotide long non-coding RNA is filed under the name Sus scrofa (pig). Its description in RNAcentral is "lncRNA (ENSSSCG00025046714.1)". Lineage: Eukaryota; Metazoa; Chordata; Mammalia; Artiodactyla; Suidae. The record is from RNAcentral.
GAUUCAGAACAGGAAGAGAAGGGAUUUAUUUUUCCAGCUCAAAGGCCAGAUUUAAGAAGUUUCCUUUCUUAAUCAAAAAGAAAGAAGGCACUCGUUCUCACUUGAAAGGUUUCUUUUUUUUUUUUUUUCCUUGUUGAUUGCUUCAUCCAUUCAUUUGAAAUUUGGAAGUUCAAGCCCUCCUUGCAUUGACUUGAAAGUACGUGGAAAUGGAACUUAUAAGCUACCUGAAAAACACAUUUCAUUCGUCAUUCCAUAUUUGCUAAUGUCAGAAAAGGCUGUGCAUUUGACCAGAGCAGAGGUCUCAGUCUGAAAGCCCAGAGGCUUUUUCUGCUUUGUGGCCUCCCAGCUGCUUCAAAUUAGAACUUGGUGCCAAUAUUGAAAAACUGGGAAUUUGGGCAUAGACAUUCAGAUUUCUAGUUUUCUUAUUAAAAAUCAGAUCUGGCAAGAUAGGGCCACUGUCCAAACUCACAACGACCUGUUGGGCUUUGGCAGUUGUUUAGCACCGUGAGUAUGGUGUGAGCGCUUUAGUUGCCCCCCCACACCCCCCCAUACUCACGGACUAACUUGUUUCAGAGCUAAUCUUUUUCAUUAAAAUCCUUUCUCCAAAGUGGGCCACAGAACAAAGCUAAGCAGUAUUUAGGUUAGCGGUUAUUAGUUCCCCUCUAGAUGACAUGAAGUCCUAUUAUGUAGUAGGAAGUGUCAGAUCAGGGAUUUGAACCCAGGUCUCUGGCUUUAGACCAACCCUUCUGGGUAAAUAAGUGUUCUGCCUCUUUCCCUCUUGUCUUUGUUUACUCUCUUAUAAUUACUUCUUAAACACAGUGUUGCCAGACUCUGCAAACGUAUCCAGUUCAGUCUGUUUGCAUUGUGAUAGUUUUGUUGAGCAAAAUCCCUUCUCGCCUUGCCUUGUUUGUUUGGGAGAAGCAAGGACCCAGGACUAAAGAGGGUGUGGUUCAGAGCUGCAUCCUCAUCCAUGAGGGUGUUGCUGGAGGCAAAGUAGACAAAUCAUUCAGUCAGUUCUGUUACAAGACGCUGCUCAGAAGCUCAUGCUGAUGCCAGUGGCCUCAAGGCUGAAAAAGUAGGAAAUGCCAGGCUCUGGCUUCUGCUUCAUUCUUCUCUUCGAACUGCUUUGCAUGGUGCCCUCUGGCUUAACAACCCAGCAAGGCUCUUCCUGGCCCUCAUGGUCAAUUUUGAGCUCCCAAGGAGUCUUCAGAAUUGGACCUCUACCUAUGUCUACAGCCAUGACUUUCACCAUCCUUCUCCUUCUAAUUAGAUUCCUCCCUCAAAACCUUAAAGGUACUCUCACCUCUAGGCUUUUGCUGGAAGAUUUUUCUGCCUGAAUGCUCUUAUCUCCUGCCUCUUUAUUUUAUCCCUAACCAAUCCCUCCUUGCCCAUUGUGCCUAACCAUUAGCAUCAUCCCUCUCCAGCAAGCUCCUCAGCAACUUGAAUGGCUUUUCCAUCGCCAUGGAGUACUCAGUGCCAGCCUGUGCCAACUUCCCACGGUGCAAGGUCUUGUGUCUCUUACACUCAGCCCUAGCUCUGUGCAUGAGAAUGCUUGAAAAAUGCUUGUUGUAGGAUUUCAUAUUAUGUAUGUUUAAUACCUGAAGAUGAAAAGUCUUUCCCUAGGAGCUCUGUUGUGUCUGUUAGAGGGGCAUGUUAGUAUUCAAGACAGCAAAUCAGAGUUGCCUUCCCCCGCCCCCCAUUUUUGGUUGCCACGUGGCGCAUGGUGUUCCUGGGCCAGGGAUCAAAUCCAAGCCAUAGGCAUGACCUAAGCCACACAGGUGGCAACACCAGAUCCUCGACCCACUGUGCUGGGCAGGGAUCGAACCUGUGUCCCAGUGCUCCCAAGAUGCUACUGAUCCCAUUGCCCCACAGGGGGAGUUCCCAGGUCAUCUUUGUAGAUGUUGCAAGACUUAAAAGGAGUAGAAGCUACAGAACCUCCUCAUAUUUUUGAGAGCUUUCUCUGUGCCAGUGCUGUGCUACCAGAGUAGGGAAGCCUUUGGCUCUAUGGCCUCAUUGUUUGGCAGCAAGGAGACUGAUGAGGAAAGAAGUUAAGUAGUCUCCUGAAGUUGCACAAUUAAUUGUCGUAGGAUCAAGGAUGGAUCCCAACAGAAGUUGCUUGGCUAUUGGGACCCAUUGGGUUAACUACCACGUAAAGAAAUUCUUGACUUAUUUGCUCUUGCCACUUGACUGUUUCUUGGAAGCCUCCUCCAGUGUCAAGAUAAAUUUGGGGCAUCCUUAGGGUUAAUUAAGAUUAUUGAAUUAACAAUCACAUUUCUUUGAUGGCCCAAGUCAGUCUCUAUUAUGAAAGUAUCAAUGGCCUGAACGAGCCCUUGGAGAUGCCAGCAUAUUCUAUUCCCUUCUUCGUUAUCAAGAUAUACCCAUUCCAGGUGCCAUUUUGUCAUUUAUCAAACUGUGCCAGAAUGUCAUUGUGUGCCUCCCAGGUCAGAAUCCUCUGUCCUGCAUCCUAAAAAAGGAUUGAUGUUGUCAUUCAACCCUGUCUUUCUAUCAAAGGUGAGAGCCAUUCAAAUCUAAGUUGGACAUUCACAGCCCUAUUUUGAAAUUGUUAUGAUCCUCAAACUAAAAUGCAAGCAUUAUGUCUCUGAAGCAUCAUUACAUCUACCUAGAAUGGUACCUUAUGAUGUAUUUCACUCAGGGUUGACCUAGAAGAAAAGGACUGGAAGUCUGGGAUGAGUAAUUUUGGUCUUAAGUACGUGAAAAUUUCCCAAAAAGACAUGGUUACUGGAUAUGAUACAAUCUCUCUAGACAGUUCAAAUUUCAUCUCAGAUACUCACUGAUGGCCUUUAAUAGGAAGUCAUUUUCUAUGUUUUCUAUAAUUUUAUUUGUUGUAGUGUGAGUGGCUGCAGUUCUGGAGCUUUCUGGCAAUAGCAUUUUUUAAUGUUUUAUUCGCAAUGUUAGAAAAAAAAAAAGGUUAGCUAUUAUUUACUGAGUGUCUCAAGUGUGCCCCAAACAAAACCAUUUCUGAUCCUUCCAACAGGGCUGAAAAAUAGCUAAAUUGCUCUCAUUUUAGACAAUGAACCUGAGGGUGAAGACACAGUUUACCUGAUGUUAAACAGCUAAUGAAAGUCUAAGAUUGAUUUAAAACAGGAAUUUCCUGGCCUUAAACUCCAUGGUAUUUCUACUCUACCACACUGUCGUGGAAGCUUUUUUUAGGGUUAAAAAGAUGUUGAGUGCAAAGCUGUGAUGAUAGUGAAUAAUUGGAAACAAUCUAAGCAUCCACUGAGAGGGGAUUGGUUUAAUACAUUUAGUUACAAUCAUAUAAUGCAACAGUAUUUGGCAUUUAGAUAUUCACUUUAAGCAGAAGUGAAGUAUACAUUGCCAUGACAGAAGUCCAGCUCACAUUUAGUGGAAAAGAGAUUGCAAAUGAAUUUGCACUUCACUAUCAGUUGGCUAAGAUAUGCAUAUGUGUUCAUACAUUUGUGCAUUCAUAGGUAAAGUGUGGACCAGCACUGUCCAGUGGAAAUUGAGUACAAACCAUAUAUGCAAACAGUAAUAUUUUUGACCAUGACCAUGGCAUGAGUAAGUUCCUGAGCCAGGGAUCAGACCUGCCCCACAGGCAGUGACAGUUCCGGAUCCUUAACCUGCUGAGCCACCAGGGAGAUCUUCUUUGUUUUUUAAAUUUUUUUGUAAAUAUUAAUUUUGUUUAGGAGUUGCCUUAAACAAAAGGAAACAAUCAAGAUUAUUUUACUGUAUUUCAUUACCAACAGCUUCUCCUAUAUAGUAUCAUUUCCACACAUGGUCAGUAUAAAAAUAGUAAUGAAGUAUUUUAAAAUUUUUAUACUAAGUCUUCAGAUUCCAGUGUGCAUGUCACAUUGACAGCACAUCUCAAUUCAGACCAACUGAAUUUCAAGAGUUCAGUAGCCGCAUGUGGUCCACAAGUUACCCUACUGGGUGGCACUGGUCUAGUGGAGAUAUAAUAAGAUCAUUAAGUGUUCUCUUUGGGAUGGCAAGAUAAUAUGUGUUGGUGUUAGUUUAUUGUCUUCUUUUGUCUUUGCCACAUUCCCCAAGUUUCCAUAAGGGAUAUGUACUGCCUUUGUAAUUUGGAAUUAAAAUAAUCUGUUAAAGACUUUCAUUUUUAAUAGGGAGUGGUAAGCUUCUAAAAUACACUUUAGGAAUUCCCGUUGUGGCUUAGCAGGUUACAAAUCUGACUAAUAUCCUUGAGGAUGCGAGUUCAAUCCCUGGCCCUGCUCAAUGGGUUAAGGCUCCGGCGUUGCUCUGAGCUGUGGUGUAGGUGGCAGAAGCAGCUCAGAUCUGGUGUUGCUGUGGCUGAGGUGUAGGCCAGCAGCUGCAGCUCCAAUUGGACCCCUAGCCUGGGAACUUCCAUAUGCCACAGAGGUGGCCCUAAAAAGCAAAUAAUAAUAAUAAUACACUUUAAAAAAUAAAUACCCAAAAUGUGAAUUUGUGACCUAUUUUCAAUGGCAGAGAGAAGCCAGGGAUGGUAUGGUCUUGGCUCUCCCUUGUGCUCCUGUGCCAUCCUGCUCUGUCACCCCUUCUCCUGUGUCCCACCUCUGGAGCCUUGGAGAGAAGAGAAGCUAAGCCCCGCCUCCACAGGAAGGUCCCUGGCGAAGCUGCCUUGCAUGCCAGAGGGUUGAGGCUUUGCCCCAGAUUCAUUUUCACUCUCUUUGAGAGACAGAGGCAGCUGUCAUGGAAAAAGACUCCACCAGUAUUUCUCAAUCUUUUGUCAUUAUUGCUGCCCCUUCACCCACAAGCCUUUCUAGGCAACGUUUUUCCUAGUGGCUUCUCCUCUUCCCCCAGUACAUUCAAUUCCACAGGUGUAUUGUAUAUCUGAUUAUGAAGUGUGACCCUCUGGAGAGGCUCAAGCCACUUUAACAUAUAAGAUUUUUUGCCCCCCCUCACACCAAGAACUAAUUUUCACUCCCUCAAGAGGCAAUAGCAUCUGGUCUCCCACUAAGAAUAUGCUCAUUCAUGUGCAUGUCAAUGACAGCAGUUGUUCUGUGACCCAUGUUUAACUUAGCAUCUUGGGCCAACAUCACCCACCUCCCUAAACUUCUGACCCACAGGGCUUCCCCAUGGCCCUCGUAGAUCCCUUUCACUUCUGUAUUCCAACCACAGCAAGUUGAUCCAUCCAAAAAACCACUGCAUCUGGAAACCCACGUCUCUCCCUUUCUCUCUGACCACCUGAAGAAUGUUCUCUAUGCCUUUCUCAUGGCACUUCCCCAAGCUGACCUUGUCUUGUCCCUUGUUCUGGUCCUGUCUCCUCUCCCUAUGAUCCGAUCCUCCUCAAGGAUAGGACUCUGCCUGUGAUGCUGUUCUCUGUGGUGUCUGGAGCUGUGCAUGGCUCUGGCUUUGCAUGCCGUAGUCCGACUGUAAGGAGUUGUGUAACUGAAUGAAAUUGCCUUCAGAAAAUGCUUUCCGGUCCAACUGUUUCUCUAUCAGGAAAUCUCAUUAAGACUUAAUCGGUAACAUCUUCCCCUCCCGUGGGGUCAUGUGGCAGUCCCCGACGGGGGACAUGAGAACAUCCUUUUCCAUUCCCGGGACCCACACAUUUCCGGCAUGGUUCACACCCCUCUGAGGUCAUUGCCUGAGGGCAAAAUUACAUGGCAACCUUGUGAAACUUGCUGCGCCUCUGCCUCUCCCUUUUAUUUCUUAAAUCACUGGAUUGAAAAUGUUCAGAUUGGAAACUAUGAAAUAACAGCCACUGAGAGCUUGGAUGUGUUUAACUCUAUCAGAAAGCCCUGCAUCCUGGUUUUCAUCUGCUUAAUCAGUUCUCUGUUCUUAUUCCACUAGAAGCCUCUCCAUCCCAACUACCCCCCACCCCACCACCACUAAGCCAUGGUCCACCCCUGUCCACUCACACCCACCAAGAGACCACUCUUAAGAACUACUUCUCGGAGUUCCCUUUGUGGCUCAUUGGUUAACGAACCCAACUAGGAUCCAUGAGGAUGAGGGUUCAAUCCCUGACCUUUGUCAGUGGGUUAAGAAAUCUGGCAUUGCCGCAUGAGCUGUGGUUUAGGUUGGAGACAGGGCUCUGAUCCUGCAUUGCUGUGGCUGUGGCUGACGACUACAGCUUCAGUGUGACCCCUAGCCUGGGAAUUUCCAAAUUUCCAUAUGCUGCAGAUGCAGCC